UACGUAGGGGGCAAGCGUUGUCCGGAUUUAUUGGGCGUAAAGAGCGUGUAGGCGGUCAGGUAGGUCGGUUGUGAAAACUGGAGGCUCAACCUCGAGACGCCGAUGGAAACCGUCUGGCUAGAGUCCGGAAGAGGAGAGUGGAAUUCCUGGUGUAGCGGUGAAAUGCGCAGAUAUCAGGAAGAACACCCGUGGCUAAGGCGGCUCUCUAGUACGGUACUGACGCUGAGACGCGAAAGCGUGGGGAGCGAACAGG
Molecule: ribosomal RNA, 253 nt
Filed under: uncultured bacterium
Lineage: Bacteria
Description: partial 16S ribosomal RNA
Rfam family: Bacterial small subunit ribosomal RNA
Source: RNAcentral